CAGUCGCCGCGGUAAUACGUAGGGUGCAAGCGUUAAUCGGAAUUACUGGGCGUAAAGCGUGCGCAGGCGGUUAUAUAAGACAGAUGUGAAAUCCCCGGGCUCAACCUGGGAACUGCAUUUGUGACUGUAUAGCUAGAGUACGGCAGAGGGGGAUGGAAUUCCGCGUGUAGCAGUGAAAUGCGUAGAUAUGCGGAGGAACACCGAUGGCGAAGGCAAUCCCCUGGGCCUGUACUGACGCUCACGCACGAAAGCGUGGGGAGCAAACAGGAUUAGAUACCCCCGUAGUCCCUGUCUCUUAUAU
This 301-nucleotide ribosomal RNA is filed under the name uncultured bacterium. RNAcentral describes it as "partial 16S ribosomal RNA". It matches the Rfam family "Bacterial small subunit ribosomal RNA", at positions 509 to 809 of the family's 1533-position model. The record is from RNAcentral.